GUCCAUUAAAAUGCACCUGCUUCGGUACUGUGGCUUGUAUUUGCGGCUGUGCGUACGGUAAAGCUGAUUAGGCGCGCAUCGUGACGACAUCUACGUAACUCUCUCACUACACUAUAGAAACUCUGUGACAGACAGCAGCCCUGCCCUCACUCGUUUCUUCAACCGUCACACAUAAAGCGACAUAAUGGGAUCCUGCGCAAAACACAUAGCAGACAAAAUCGUUGACCAGCGCUCUAUUACUGAAUCUGGUUCUUGCAACUGAGCGCCUUUUCUACUCCGAAUUCUGACUACAUAUUUACAAAAGCUGAGCAACCUUUCCAAAGCUUCUUUCUGUUCUAAGGGGAUGGGGGAAUGAUCAACCCCGACUCCCCAUCUCCAGCUCAGUUGUAUCAGUUGUAAGAGCGUUUUGCAGUAUGCCAUCCCCGAGAAGAGGUGUCGAUCACCGACCGAGAACCGCCGCCACGCUUCUAACCCAGGUUGCUGUCUUUGCAACCUUCGUUGCUAUGAGCGAAUGCAUGCCAGGGUCUUCUUCAGUAUGCCCGCGGAGCUUAGACUGUGCCCGAGCAGGGCGUCAUUUCUGCCAGCCGGGCAGCUCACACUGCGGCCCCUGCCUCAACCCGCUGGUAGAGAACUCACAUGGCAGAUGCAUAGUGAAGAGGAGACACGCUCACGCCCCCCAUUUUGCUGGAAAAGUGACCACGUUCCCUGAAGUGGAUGAGGAGAUAGACUUCCUGUCCACCAUCAUCAGCCAACGGAAGGAGUCGGGGGUCAAACAUCCAGCUCCUCUCUCUCAGGAUUUUUCCAAAGCCGAGGAGGAAGAUGACCGAUCCAUGAUCCUCACCCAACGGCCUACCACAGAGCAGCCUACGACACACAGUACCACUACAGCCCCGUAUAACACGACUACAGCCGCCCCCACCACCACCCACAUCCCAGCAGUUCGUAGUGGGCCCCUGAUCAUCCCAUACCCCUCCAACGAUCAUGUGUUUAUUGUCAUGACCAGUGUGUUUGUGGUCAUGGGAUCUGUGGCCUUGCUCUUGGCUGGUGUCUGUUGGAUCAGGUUGCAGAGAGGUGUGCGCCUGGCUCAGAAGGCAGACUACCCUGCUUAUGGUGGUACGGGGCCCCAUUCCUAUGACAACAAUGUGCCUGGGGAUAAGAGGCUGGCUCAGAGUGCCCAGAUGUACCACUACCAACACCAGAAACAGCAGAUGCUCUCCCUGGAGAAACAACGGGAUGAGCCAAAGGUGCCUGACUCUGUGGCCACGUCAGAUGAGGAGAAUGAGGAUGGGGACUUCACGGUGUACGAGUGUCCUGGAUUGGCCCCAACGGGGGAAAUGGAGGUGAAGAAUCCUUUGUUUGAUGAUUCCACCCUUCAGCGGAGCCACAAUAAACCACCCUCCCGGACUAGAGGGUAAUUAACACACCAACCCUGAGAGACGAACAACCUCUUUUACUACUACUGGGAUUGUUGAACAUGAUGAUGCAUGAAGACAUAUCAGAAAAAUGGGAAAAGAAACGGGGGUUGACCCAGAAGGACUUGGGAGGAGAGAGAACAGCCUCAAUUGGUGUGAUCUGGAAAAACCCUGAACCAAGUGUGAUGGAGGACAUUCAUCAACUGCCUAUUCUCCCCAUAAGAGCCAAGGG
RNA transcript from Oncorhynchus keta (chum salmon), 1644 nucleotides. It is a transcript of the gene named neural proliferation, differentiation and control, 1b, with no coding region annotated. Lineage: Eukaryota; Metazoa; Chordata; Actinopteri; Salmoniformes; Salmonidae. The record is from RefSeq and is a predicted model, not a curated record. The transcript is spliced from 11 exons.